AGCGGGUGCACGUGUGAGAUUUCAUCACAGUGACAUGCCUGGAAGUGGAAGCACAGGGAAGGCAUGGCAGGUGGCUGAGCAAGGGCCGCAGCGCUGGCCCGUCUGCCCCUCCCGCUGAGCCCUAUCCAGGCCCUUGGAUUUCCCCACCCUUUCAUGUUGAAAUCGAGAGGCAAUGGGCUGGCCUCGGAAGGUAUGUUUGCCUCAGUCUCCCAGGAGUUGGGUGUUCAUCCGGAGAUGCAGUUUUCUCAGUGAGGUCAGAUCAGGAGAUGCUUGGUGCUCUGAGGAAGCACAGAAUGAGAGACAAGAACAAUUCCAGGAAUGGACUCUGCAUUGGAGUGUUUCGGGGCAUCCUCUGAGAAAAGGAAAUGAUCUCUUGAUAAUCCAAGAUGCUGUGGAAGUCUCCCCUCCGAGCAACAACAGACCAAGCCAGACUUCAAACUAUGGCAAGUGGAAAACAUUGCCUUAAGAACAGUUUUUUAAUACAAACACAUAAAAAUUAAGCCAUUCUUCACCA
Mastomys coucha (southern multimammate mouse) is the source of this 514-nucleotide long non-coding RNA. RefSeq lists it as uncharacterized. The transcript has 3 exons. The record is from RefSeq and is a predicted model, not a curated record. NCBI's taxonomy places the organism in Eukaryota, Metazoa, Chordata, Mammalia, Rodentia, Muridae.